UUUUUCUUUAAUUCUUUUUGUCAUCAUUAAAACCAAGAGUAUUCGUACAUCACAUAGAACCACACUUUUAACUGUAGUGUGAACAAGACAAACUCAUUUUCUCAUUUGGCAAGGGAAUCCACAUGAUGAAGUUAAUUGAAACCUAAAGCUUGUAUACAUAUGAAUUUCCAUUGAACUUUAUUUCAAGAUCAAUUCCUUUUGAUUUCCAAAACACCCAUAAGCUUAGGUAAUCUUGAUUCUUGAUUUC
This 247-nucleotide long non-coding RNA is filed under the name Lathyrus oleraceus (garden pea). Its description in RNAcentral is "Pisum sativum (pea) long non-coding RNA (PSAT_LNC026485)". The record is from RNAcentral. Lineage: Eukaryota; Viridiplantae; Streptophyta; Magnoliopsida; Fabales; Fabaceae.